UCCUACGGGAGGCAGCAGUGGGGAAUAUUGCACAAUGGGCGCAAGCCUGAUGCAGCCAUGCCGCGUGUAUGAAGAAGGCCUUCGGGUUGUAAAGUACUUUCAGCGAGGAGGAAGGCGUUGAAGGUUAAUAACCUCAGCAAUGACGUACUCGCAG
RNAcentral lists this ribosomal RNA (154 nucleotides) under Enterobacter sp. NC372. Its description in RNAcentral is "partial 16S ribosomal RNA". It matches the Rfam family "Bacterial small subunit ribosomal RNA", at positions 337 to 484 of the family's 1533-position model. The record is from RNAcentral. Lineage: Bacteria; Pseudomonadati; Pseudomonadota; Gammaproteobacteria; Enterobacterales; Enterobacteriaceae.